Molecule: long non-coding RNA, 1939 nt
Organism: Gallus gallus (chicken)
Lineage: Eukaryota; Metazoa; Chordata; Aves; Galliformes; Phasianidae
Source: Ensembl
CUAUCACCCACUUGCAAUUGGUCCACAGUGCUUGAUGGCAGAUGCUGCUCAGCUGAGUUUGAGGUGCAGGGACAGAGACGGAGGAAGAAAUAGCAAGCAGCGGUACAUCAAGUGGCUUGGAAGAAAAAUGGGAGGAAAAAGAAAACCAACACCCUCCAAGGAUGCUUUUGUGAUAGGAGCAGAUGAAAGUGGAAGAAAAUCAGGGCUGCUAUCUGUUAUGUACGAGUAGGAGGCUGCGUUCCUUUCCGUGAUAAAUCUUUUCAGGUGCUGUUACCCUGUGGGACACCAGGCAGGUUCACAAAACUUGAAUCAAGUCACAUCCCAAUUGUUUUCCACUCUCAUCCACCUCUGAAGUUCCUGAUACCAUCAAGCUAUCGUCACACAGAGUGAGGUGGGAGAACUUCAGUCCGGCUGCAGGAUUGGUCCCAGCGUGUGCUGGAACACAGACAGACUGGAUGUUUUAUCCCCAACUUAUAGAAAAAAAAAUUGAGGCGAGGAAGUGAAGGCAUUCAUUUUUAAAGUGUAGAAGUUCUAAUUUAAAGAAUAAUGCUCAGAGUGAAGUCUGCACUGGGAGCGUUGUUCCAUGCGAAGCACCAUGACUCAGAGCAGCUUUGGGUGUACAUGAGGAGCUGUGACCUAAUGAGGCACUGUGCAACUCCUAACCACAUGAAGCCAUACGAAGCUCCACGUUCAGCCACUUUAAAACAAGCUGUUAAGUGCUGCAAAGCUUCAGAAAUUUCUCCACUGCUCCUCUGCUGGUGGUGUCUCUGUGAAGAUGAAAAAUGAAAGCGUGGAGUUCACCAUCUGACUCUGAGAAACAGUGAGAACUUCAGCAAGACAGGAAAUAAACUUUUCCUACUUUCAUUCCCCCAACUUCUCUGGAGAUAAGUAAUACAGAUUACAUUCUCCAGGGCUACCAAGCUGACACCUUCAGCAAAGAAUUAAAUGGAGGAACUCUUCCCAUGGUAUUACUUACAAGAAAUUUAAGCAAUUAGUGUUUGCUGUCUACAAUCGGACAAUACUGAUCUCCAGUGAUGCAAUUUAAAAGCUCAUGAGAUGAAACUACAGUUAAUUAUAUACCCUUAACUUAUUUACCUAUUUCAAUAGCAAGGUAAUUACUAUUGUAUGGGUAUCAAUCUCUCUAAUACAUUGAUCGUAGCUAUUAGCUUAUCUGGAGUUGCUGCUCCAGACAGACCCAAUGAAUGUGGUUUAUAUUCCUAAAACUGUGAUCUGUGCUGCACCUGUAAAUGUUUUGUCCCCUUAGAGGGAUCCAGAAUGGAAGUUAGACCCUCCAGGGAAUGUCUCUCUUUGCAGACACUGAAGGCCUGCCUCAAAUUAUUUCAGUGUGGUUUUUGCAUCAAUGUAACUGUAUACACCCAAGGAGGGAGUGGCAACGUCCAACAGCUGGGGUGGUUCUUUCAGACUCCGCUAGAAAAGCCUUUUCCACCUUUCUUCCACCUUUUAAUUUUGUUUCCCCUCUAUCCAUCCCACUUUGUUGCUGAUUUGAAUGUCAAGUAUGCAUGGAACUCUGUGUAUUACAUUGUGCCGAACUAACAAAUGAAAUGGUGUCACAUGCUCCUUAUCUUUAAAAGCAAACCUUGCAAAGCUUGUAUCUACUCUUCCAGCAGAGCUACAUUACCAGAAAGUAUUUUCCUGAAAACUUUGAGACUCUGGCUUAUUAAAACAGAUCCUUAGGAUGAUUGGGUCUAUUCCAUUAGUAGAUUUAUAAAGUGUACAGACUGAGUAAACAACAGUGACAGCUUGGGGAAGUGUAUGCACCUGUUUAUUAAAAAGACGUUAACAAGGGCAAAUCUAAAAUAAGAACAUGUACCACAACCCAAUUUUCAGCAAAUUUUUAUGCAUGCCUACACUCAAGGUUACCAAUGUUAUUGGCAAUUUCUCUCUCUCUUUUCUCUCUCAGGAUUACACAACUGAUGAG